CACUUGAUUCCACAUGGUAUUCUAUCUCACGUAUCAGACAGUUACCAAUAUGGAGAAGAAGUAACGUACAAAUGCAACGAAGGUUUUGAGAUUAACGGACCUGCAUUCAUAAGAUGUAUAGGAGGAAAAUGGUCCCAUCCACCAGAGUGCAAAAACACGGAUUGUUUUAGCUUACCCGACUUCGGUAAUGCCACACCCAUAGGCCAGAAGAAGACGUCAUAUAGGUCAGGAGAAAAAGUGACUUAUAAAUGUCCAAAUAAUUACCUUUUGGAUGGACCAAAUACUAUCCAGUGUAUUAACAGCCAAUGGAUAGGAAAGCCAAUAUG
Herpailurus yagouaroundi (jaguarundi) is the source of this 326-nucleotide long non-coding RNA. RefSeq lists it as uncharacterized. The transcript is spliced from 2 exons. Lineage: Eukaryota; Metazoa; Chordata; Mammalia; Carnivora; Felidae. The record is from RefSeq and is a predicted model, not a curated record.